Molecule: ribosomal RNA, 237 nt
Filed under: uncultured bacterium
Lineage: Bacteria
Description: partial 16S ribosomal RNA
Rfam family: Bacterial small subunit ribosomal RNA
Source: RNAcentral
UGAGCAAUCUGCCCUUCUCUUUGGAAUAAGCGUUGGAAACGACGUCUAAUGCCGAAUACGACCUCCUUUCGCAUGAUCGGAGGUGGAAAGCACCGGCGGAGAAGGAUGAGCUCGCGGCCUAUCAGCUAGUUGGUGUGGGUAAUGGCCCACCAAGGCGACGACGGGUAGCCGGCCUGGAGAGGGUGACCGGCCACACUGGGACUGAGACACGGUCCAGACUCCGUACGGGAGGNAGCG